Molecule: ribosomal RNA, 779 nt
Filed under: Photobacterium damselae
Lineage: Bacteria; Pseudomonadati; Pseudomonadota; Gammaproteobacteria; Vibrionales; Vibrionaceae
Description: partial 23S ribosomal RNA
Rfam family: Bacterial large subunit ribosomal RNA
Source: RNAcentral
AGCGUAAUAGCUCACUGGUCGAGUCGGCCUGCGCGGAAGAUUUAACGGGGCUAAGCUAUACACCGAAGCUGCGGCAAUGUGCUACGCACAUUGGGUAGGGGAGCGUUCUGUAAGCCGUUGAAGGUGUGUUGUAAAGCAUGCUGGAGGUAUCAGAAGUGCGAAUGCUGACAUGAGUAACGACAAAGGGAGUGAAAAACUCCCUCGCCGGAAGACCAAGGGUUCCUGUCCAACGUUAAUCGGGGCAGGGUGAGUCGACCCCUAAGGCGAGGCCGAAAGGCGUAGUCGAUGGGAAACGGGUUAAUAUUCCCGUACUUCUUACUAUUGCGAUGGGGGGACGGAGAAGGCUAGGUGAGCCUGGCGACGGUUGUCCAGGUCCAAGUACGUAGGUGGAUGAAUUAGGCAAAUCCGGUUCAUCAUUAACACUGAGAUACGAUGUCGAGCUACUACGGUAGCGAAGUCAUUGAUGCCAUGCUUCCGGGAAAAGCCUCUAAGCUUCAGAUAGUAAGAAAUCGUACCCCAAACCGACACAGGUGGUCGGGUAGAGAAUACCAAGGCGCUUGAGAGAACUCGGGUGAAGGAACUAGGCAAAAUGGUACCGUAACUUCGGGAGAAGGUACGCUCUUAACGGUGAAGUCCCUCGCGGAUGGAGCUGUCGAGAGUCGCAGAUACCAGGUGGCUGCAACUGUUUAUUAAAAACACAGCACUGUGCAAAAUCGAAAGAUGACGUAUACGGUGUGACGCCUGCCCGGUGCCGGAAGGUUAAUUGAUGGGGUUAGACG